ACUCCUACGGGAGGCAGCAGUGGGGAAUAUUGCACAAUGGGCGCAAGCCUGAUGCAGCCAUGCCGCGUGUAUGAAGAAGGCCUUCGGGUUGUAAAGUACUUUCAGCAGUGAGGAAGGUGGGUAUGUUAAUAGCAUACUCAUUUGACGUUAGCUGCAGAAGAAGCACCGGCUAACUCCGUGCCAGCAGCCGCGGUAAUACGGAGGGUGCGAGCGUUAAUCGGAAUUACUGGGCGUAAAGCGCAUGCAGGUGGUUUGUUAAGUCAGAUGUGAAAGCCCGGGGCUCAACCUCGGAAUUGCAUUUGAAACUGGCAAACUAGAGUACUGUAGAGGGGGGUAGAAUUUCAGGUGUAGCGGUGAAAUGCGUAGAGAUCUGAAGGAAUACCGGUGGCGAAGGCGGCCCCCUGGACAGAUACUGACACUCAGAUGCGAAAGCGUGGGGAGCAAAACAGGAUUAGAUACCCUGGUAGGCUUGC
This 473-nucleotide ribosomal RNA is filed under the name uncultured bacterium. Its description in RNAcentral is "bacterial SSU rRNA". It matches the Rfam family "Bacterial small subunit ribosomal RNA", at positions 335 to 798 of the family's 1533-position model. The record is from RNAcentral.